This 468-nucleotide ribosomal RNA is filed under the name uncultured bacterium. RNAcentral's name for it is "partial 16S ribosomal RNA". It matches the Rfam family "Bacterial small subunit ribosomal RNA", at positions 28 to 507 of the family's 1533-position model. The record is from RNAcentral.
GACGAACGCUGGCGGCGUGCUUAACACAUGCAAGUCGAACGGAAAGGCCCUGCUUUUGUGGGGUGCUCGAGUGGCGAACGGGUGAGUAACACGUGCGUAACCUGCCCUUGACUUUGGGAUAACUUCAGGAAACUGGGGCUAAUACCGGAUAGGAGCUCCUGCUGCAUGGUGGGGGUUGGAAAGUUUCGGCGGUUGGGGAUGGACUCGCGGCUUAUCAGCUUGUUGGUGGGGUAUUGGCGUACCAAGGCUUUGACGGGUAGCCGACCUGAGAGGGGGACCAGCCACAUUGGGACUGAGAUACGGCCCAGACUCCUACGGGAGGCAGCAGGGGGGAAUAUUGCACAAUGGGCGGAAGCCUGAUGCAGCAACGCCGCGUGCGGGAUGACGGCCUUCGGGUUGUAAACCGCUUUCGCCUGUGACGAAGCGUGAGUGACGGUAAUGGGUAAAGAAGCACCGGCUAACUACGUG